GACAGAGGGUGCGAACGUUGUUCGGAGUUACUGGGCGUAAAGCGCAUGUAGGCGGCAGCGCAAGUCGGGCGUGAAAUCCCACGGCUCAACCGUGGAAGUGCGCUCGAAACUGCGCAGCUAGAGUCCUGGAGAGGAAGGUGGAAUGCUUGGUGUAGAGGUGAAAUUCGUAGAUAUCAAGCGGAACACCGGUGGCGAAGGCGGCCUUCUGGACAGUGACUGACGCUGAGAUGCGAAAGCGUGGGGAGCAAACAGG
Molecule: ribosomal RNA, 253 nt
Filed under: uncultured bacterium
Lineage: Bacteria
Description: partial 16S ribosomal RNA
Rfam family: Bacterial small subunit ribosomal RNA
Source: RNAcentral